GCUGAGCUUGGACAACAGAUACACAU
Molecule: non-coding RNA, 26 nt
Filed under: Cricetulus griseus (Chinese hamster)
Lineage: Eukaryota; Metazoa; Chordata; Mammalia; Rodentia; Cricetidae
Source: RNAcentral